This is a long non-coding RNA of Odocoileus virginianus texanus, 580 nucleotides long. RefSeq lists it as uncharacterized. NCBI's taxonomy places the organism in Eukaryota, Metazoa, Chordata, Mammalia, Artiodactyla, Cervidae. The record is from RefSeq and is a predicted model, not a curated record.
GCCACCCGUCCCGGAGGCGUCCCCGCUCACCCGGCCUCUGCUCUGCUGCGGGCCUCGGGAUCAAGGCCGUAAGUCCAGCCCUGUAUUCAGGACCCUCCGCCGUGACUUGCCUCCCACCCACUGGAGGUGGGACCCGCUACGGGCGUCAGAUGCCACCCUCCACGUCAUGGCUCCUGCUGGGCUCUGCAGCUGAACUGGCCCCUCCCCGCUACCGACUCUCUCACCUGGAAAACCCCUGAGAGCCUGAAAUCCGGGGCACCUCUUCUUCUGGCCGCUGCUCUGGACGCUCCUCCUGUGAUGGCCGCUAAUCUGUGGCCUGCUCUGUCUGGGUUGACACUGUCAGAAAGAGCACAUCUGCCUGAUACUCCCUGGAAACUGCAGAACUGCCACACAGGCUGCGAAGAGGUCGGCUCUGGCCAUUUCCAAAGUCCUGAAGAAUGAGGAUUACAGGCCUAGGUGUUGCCUCCCUGAAACCAAAGAUCCAAAAAAGAUCAGAGACAGAGGGCAUGGUCAAUGCAACCCCGUGGAAGCAGCCACACAGAGCUAGAAGGUGCAUGCACUGCCGGCUGACCCGCCUGAC